AAUAGUGUAAUAUUUAUUUGUUGUGAAGUUAUGCAGCUAUGAUGUUCUAGGCUUUUUGCUAUGGUGAACAUUGGAGGAGAAAGAAUGAACAAUUUCCGUAAGAUCUCAUUAUUAUUUUAUAAUAUUGGAAUCUAUUAAGGUUGAAUGUAGUUGAAGUCGUUGGUGAUUUAACAAAUCUAUUGUAAAUGUGGUAGAGUUGGACAUGCUUGUCAUGUGUUUGAUAGAAUGUCUGGGAGAUAUAUUGUCUUAUUUAAAAAGUAGACAUUUAAUAACGCUUGCUUCAGUGAAUGCUGGUAAAUGUCUACUUUCUACGGUGCUAAAAAAAACGCUCUUAAAUGACAAAUAUAUCUACUUUCAACUACUCACUAUGGUUAACUUGUAACAUCUGUUAUCUACUUAUCAAAAAUGUUUCUUGUACAACUCACA
Molecule: long non-coding RNA, 426 nt
Filed under: Lupinus angustifolius (narrow-leaved blue lupine)
Lineage: Eukaryota; Viridiplantae; Streptophyta; Magnoliopsida; Fabales; Fabaceae
Description: long non-coding RNA (LANG_LNC001921)
Source: RNAcentral